Molecule: ribosomal RNA, 826 nt
Filed under: uncultured Pseudomonadota bacterium
Lineage: Bacteria; Pseudomonadati; Pseudomonadota
Description: bacterial SSU rRNA
Rfam family: Bacterial small subunit ribosomal RNA
Source: RNAcentral
CCUGUAGCAAUACAGGUGGCGCACGGCGCACGGGUGCGUAACACGUGGGUAAUCUGCCCUCUGAUGGGGAAUAACUCGCCGAAAGGCGAGCUAAUUCCGCAUAACAUUCCGAGAACUUUGGUUUUUGGACUCAAAGGCGUAAGUCGUCGGAGGAGGAGCCCGCGCACGAUUAGCUAGUUGGUGAGGUAAUGGCUCACCAAGGCUAUGAUCGUUAGCUGGUCUGAGAGGAUGGCCAGCCACACUGGAACUGAGACACGGUCCAGACUCCUACGGGAGGCAGCAGUGGGGAAUCUUGCACAAUGGGCGAAAGCCUGAUGCAGCGACGCCGCGUGGGGGAUGAAGCUUCUCGGAGUGUAAACCCCUUUCGACCCGGACGAAUACCUCGCAAGAGGGGUGACGGUACGGGUAUAAGAAGCCCCGGCUAACUACGUGCCAGCAGCCGCGGUAAGACGUAGGGGGCCAGCGUUGUUCGGAAUUACUGGGUGUAAAGGGUUCGUAGGCGGUGUGGCAAGUCGGGAGUGAAAUCUCUGGGCUCAACUCAGAGACUGCUUCCGAAACUGCUGUGCUGGAGUGUGGGAGAGGCGCGUGGAAUUGCAGGUGUAGCGGUGAAAUGCGUAGAUAUCUGCAGGAACACCCGUGGCGAAAGCGGCGCGCUGGACCACUACUGACGCUGAGGAACGAAAGCUAGGGGAGCAAACAGGAUUAGAUACCCUGGUAGUCCUAGCCCUAAACGAUCAGGACUUGGGGUGCCACCCGUUCGGGUGUCGUCCCGGAGCUAACGCGUUAAGUCCUGCACCUGGGGAGUACGGUCGCAAGACUGAAACUC